This 238-nucleotide long non-coding RNA is filed under the name Elaeis guineensis (African oil palm). RNAcentral's name for it is "long non-coding RNA (EGUI_LNC005187)". The record is from RNAcentral. Lineage: Eukaryota; Viridiplantae; Streptophyta; Magnoliopsida; Arecales; Arecaceae.
GACUUCGCCCCCGACUUCGACUAUAGGUGAACCUCAUCCGGACUCCUACGGGAGCCGGACUUCAUCCUGACUUCUGCUGCAGGUGAACUUCGUCCGGACUCCUACGGGAGCCGGACUUCGCCUCCGACGUCAAUUGCAGGUGAACUUCGUCCGGACUCCUACGGGAGCCGGACUUCAUCCUGACUUCUACUGCAGGUGAACUUCAUCCGGACUCCUGCGGGAGCCAGACUUCGCCCCC